CACAUGCAAGUCGGACGGUAACAGGGAUUGCUUGCAAUCCGCUGACGAGUGGCGCACGGGUGCGCAACGCGUAUAGAACCUACCCUUUACAGGGGGAUAGCCCAGAGAAAUUUGGAUUAAUACCCCGUAGUACCUAUUAGAGGCAUUUCUAAUAGGUUAUAGUUUUCGAACGGUAAAGGAUGGCUAUGCGUCUUAUUAGCUAGUAGGUAAGGUAACGGCUUACCUAGGCUACGAUAAGUAGGGGCCCUGAGAGGGGGAUCCCCCACACUGGUACUGAGACACGGACCAGACUCCUACGGGAGGCAGCAGUGAGGAAUAUUGGACAAUGGGCGGAAGCCUGAUCCAGCCAUGCCGCGUGCAGGAAGACGGCCCUAUGGGUUGUAAACUGCUUUUAUACGGGAAGAAUAAGGGAUACGUGUAUCCUGGUGACGGUACCGUAAGAAUAAGGACCGGCUAACUCCGUGCCAGCAGCCGCGGUAAUACGGAGGGUCCGAGCGUUAUCCGGAAUUAUUGGGUUUAAAGGGUCCGCAGGCGGGCAAUUAAGUCAGAGGUGAAAUGGUGCGGCUCAACCGUAGCACUGCCUUUGAUACUGGUUGUCUUGAGUCAUGGUGGAGUGGCCGGAAUAUGUAGUGUAGCGGUGAAAUGCAUAGAUAUUACAUAGAACACCGAUCGCGAAGGCAGGUCACUAACCAUGUACUGACGCUGAUGGACGAAAGCGUGGGGAGCGAACGGGAUUAGAUACCCCGGUAGUCCACGCCGUAAACGAUGGAUACUAGCUGUCCGCUGCCUUGAGCAGUGGGCGGCCAAGCGAAAGUGAUAAGUAUCCCACCUGGGGAGUACGUUCGCAAGAAUGAAACUCAAAGGAAUUGACGGGGGCCCGCACAAGCGGUGGAGCAUGUGGUUUAAUUCGAUGAUACGCGAGGAACCUUACCAGGGCUUAAAUGCAGAAUGACAGGUUUAGAAAUAGACUUUUCUUCGGACAUUUUGCAAGGUGCUGCAUGGUUGUC
RNAcentral lists this ribosomal RNA (1007 nucleotides) under Eudoraea sp. RNAcentral's name for it is "bacterial SSU rRNA". It matches the Rfam family "Bacterial small subunit ribosomal RNA", at positions 52 to 1053 of the family's 1533-position model. The record is from RNAcentral. Lineage: Bacteria; Pseudomonadati; Bacteroidota; Flavobacteriia; Flavobacteriales; Flavobacteriaceae.